GCGGUAAUACGGAGGAUGCGAGCGUUAUCCGGAUUUAUUGGGUUUAAAGGGUGCGCAGGCGGUCUGUUAAGUCAGCGGUCAAAGCCCGGGGCUCAACCCCGGCCCGCCGUUGAAACUGGCAGUCUCGAGUUGGAGAGAAGUAUGCGGAAUGCGCGGUGUAGCGGUGAAAUGCAUAGAUAUCGCGCAGAACUCCGAUUGCGAAGGCAGCAUGCCGGCUCCACACUGACGCUGAGGCACGAAAGCGUGGGUAUCGAACAGGAUUAGAUACCCUGGUAGUCCACGCAGUAA
This 288-nucleotide ribosomal RNA is filed under the name Klebsiella pneumoniae. RNAcentral's name for it is "partial 16S ribosomal RNA". It matches the Rfam family "Bacterial small subunit ribosomal RNA", at positions 517 to 805 of the family's 1533-position model. The record is from RNAcentral. Lineage: Bacteria; Pseudomonadati; Pseudomonadota; Gammaproteobacteria; Enterobacterales; Enterobacteriaceae.